AAGUAUAGAAUUAGCUCACUUAUAUCUAUUCAAUAUCUUCAGUUAAAAACAAAGGCAAAACCCCAGUUUUUGAAUGAUACUGUGAAGUAAUACUUAAAUUGGUUUAGAGAAUUUUCUUGAACUUGAUUAAUAUUUUGUUGUUUUUUAUAACAGAAUAUGAAGAGAGUGGAUUGUUGGAAACAGAUGAGGCUACCCUAGAUACAAGGAAAAUAGUAGAAGCUUGUAAAGCCAAAACUGAUGCUGGCGGUGAAGAUGCUAUUUUGCAAACCAGAACUUACGACCUUUACAUCACUUACGAUAAAUAUUACCAGACUCCACGAUUAUGGUUAUUUGGCUAUGAUGAGGUAAAAAUGAAAAGCAUUAUAUUUUAAUAUCAAUAUUUUAAAUUGUUGGGUUUUAAUUUCUUCAUUAGGUCCAUAAGUAUUUAUUGCAGUGUUUCACAUUUUGGAAAUCAUUUGUUUUACAGUUUUAUGAUUAAUGUUGAACUUGAUUCUUUCUUAUUUUGAAUGAACUAUGAAUUAUUCAGUGUAACAACAAUAAUGCUAAGA
This 548-nucleotide small RNA is filed under the name Pongo abelii (Sumatran orangutan). RNAcentral describes it as "retained intron". The record is from RNAcentral. Lineage: Eukaryota; Metazoa; Chordata; Mammalia; Primates; Hominidae.